Molecule: ribosomal RNA, 483 nt
Filed under: uncultured bacterium
Lineage: Bacteria
Description: partial 16S ribosomal RNA
Rfam family: Bacterial small subunit ribosomal RNA
Source: RNAcentral
GACGAACGCUGGCGGCGUGCUUAACACAUGCAAGUCGAACGAUGAAGCUGGAGCUUGCUCCGGUGGAUUAGUGGCGAACGGGUGAGUAACACGUGAGCAAUCUGCCCUUCACCCUGGGAUAACUGCGGGAAACUGUAGCUAAUACCGGAUACGAGACCUUGGGGCAUCCCAGGGUCUGGAAAGAAUUUCGGUGAGGGAUGAGCUCGCGGCCUAUCAGCUAGUUGGUGAGGUAAUGGCUCACCAAGGCGACGACGGGUAGCCGGCCUGAGAGGGUGACCGGCCACACUGGGACUGAGACACGGCCCAGACUCCUACGGGAGGCAGCAGUGGGGAAUAUUGCACAAUGGGCGAAAGCCUGAUGCAGCAACGCCGCGUGAGGGAUGAAGGCCUUCGGGUUGUAAACCUCUUUUAGUAGGGAAGAAGCGCAAGUGACGGUACCUACAGAAAAAGCACAGGCUAACUACGUGCCAGCCGCCGCAGUAA